RNAcentral lists this transfer RNA (92 nucleotides) under Bacilli bacterium PM5-3. Its description in RNAcentral is "tRNA-Ser". It matches the Rfam family "tRNA". Rfam says of the family: Transfer RNA (tRNA) molecules are approximately 80 nucleotides in length. Their secondary structure includes four short double-helical elements and three loops (D, anti-codon, and T loops). Lineage: Bacteria; Bacillati; Bacillota; Bacilli. RNAcentral also lists the same sequence under 1 other name. The record is from RNAcentral.
GGAGUAGUACUCAAGUUGGCUGAAGAGGUGCCCCUGCUAAGGGUAUAGGGCGUUUACGCGUCGCGAGGGUUCGAAUCCCUCCUACUCCGCCA